UACGUAGGUGGCAAGCGUUGUCCGGAUUUACUGGGCGUAAAGAGCGCGCAGGCGGCCGAGUAAGUCGAAUGUGAAAGCCCCCGGCUCAACUGGGGAAGGUCAUUCGAUACUGUUCGGCUUGAAGAUAGGAGAGGGAAGCGGAAUUUCAGGUGUAGUGGUGAAAUGCGUAGAUAUCUGAAGGAACACCAGUGGCGAAGGCGGCUUUCUGGCCUAUUCUUGACGCUGAGGCGCGAAAGCUAGGGGAGCAAACGGG
Molecule: ribosomal RNA, 253 nt
Filed under: uncultured bacterium
Lineage: Bacteria
Description: partial 16S ribosomal RNA
Rfam family: Bacterial small subunit ribosomal RNA
Source: RNAcentral